GAUGAAGAACGUAGCGAAAUGCGAUAAGUAAUGUGAAUUGCAGAAUUCAGUGAAUCAUCGAAUCUUUGAACGCACCUUGCGCCUUUUGGUAUUCCGAAAGGCACACCUGUUUGAGCGUCAUGAAUACCUCAAUCUCCAUCUUUUCUUCGGAUUGAUGGGUGACUUGGAUGUUGAGCCCUGCUGGUAUGUUAUAUCAGCUGGCUUUAAACUUAUUAGCCGGCUCUGUACUGGAUCGGUUUGACUCGACGUGAUAAUAUUAUCGUUGAGGAUGCAUGUCUCAUGCAGCCGGAAAGUAUCAAAGCAGCUUCUAGCUUGCCUUUAGUGCACUUUUACAUUUUAGUCCUCAGAUCAGGUGGGACUACCCGCUGAACUUAAGCAUAUCAAUAAGCGGAGGA
RNAcentral lists this unclassified non-coding RNA (395 nucleotides) under soil metagenome. RNAcentral describes it as "partial contains 5.8S ribosomal RNA, internal transcribed spacer 2, and large subunit ribosomal RNA". The stretch from base 1 to 120 matches the Rfam family "5.8S ribosomal RNA", at positions 35 to 154 of the family's 154-position model. The record is from RNAcentral.